UAUCUUGGAUCACCAUCACUGACACUGC
This 28-nucleotide non-coding RNA is filed under the name Rattus norvegicus (Norway rat). The record is from RNAcentral. Lineage: Eukaryota; Metazoa; Chordata; Mammalia; Rodentia; Muridae.